UAAAAAUAUGUAUGUUCAGCUGUCUAAGAGAGAGGAAAAACAUAAAUAGCGUAUUUCAUGCCUCAAUGGUAGUAUAAACCAUAAAAUACUUAUUUUGCUAUAAAAUAUAAAAGGUAGCUAUAGAAAAUAAUAUUUUAAAAUAAUUUUAGUUUAUAAUAAAUAGGGUGUAUACAUUUGCUAUAUGAGGUAAAAUUUUCAUUAAAAAAUGAACCAAAUCGAACCGAAUUAAUUCAAAACUGAGCGAAUCUGCCAAAUGUACACCCUAAUUCAACCUCCUUGACUAGUGAUAAGUUUACAUUAAAUACUCAAUGGCACACGUAUCCAUCAAAUACUGAAUCCGCCCGACCUCGAGUAUUCCACCAAGUACCUUUCACGCAAAUACAUGAUAACUCUGCCAUCAAAUACCAGAAAGUGGAUCACUUUUUAAUUGUGAAAUGGGUCUGCAUAAAAGUCAAGCAAAGAAGAAAAGUUGCGCUAGCAAAGUACUAAUAGCAUUCCAUGGACUGCUAAAGUAACUGUGAUUUAGUUCAGCUAUCCAAAGAAGUAAAGAGAUAGUAAUUUAAUGUCCUUCAAAGAAUCAGUAGAGCUUGGCCUAUAGCAAAUAUUCUUUGCUUUGAGUUCUUUAACUGAUCAAAAUGAACGAACAGAUUUCUUCACAGUUCUUUUCAUCACCAGCUCUUCCUCUUAGUAUAGGGAUCACGUAUUAAUAUAAUAGUAGUAACAAUUAUUAGUCGGUAAUCAUUUAAUGUUUUAUUAAUUAACUAAUUGGUUCACAUUUCAGAAUCCAAAUUGAGUUGCUCUGUAAUUUCUUAAAUAGUAUUAUAGCUCAAAAAUCCAGAUUGGGAUAAAUACUAUUUGAGUUAAAUACUAUUCAUGAAUACAGUAGCAAAAAGUACCUAAAAUUAGGACAGUCCAGCUGUACGCGCAUGUAUUCAUAUGUAUUUACGUCAUGUAUUCAUGAAUACAGUAACGGCAAUCCCUUAAAAAUAUGUAUGUUCAACUGUGUAAGAGAGAGGAAAAACAUAAAUAGCGUAUUUCAUGCAUCAAUGGUAAUAUAAACCAUAAAAUACUUAUUUUGCUAUAAAAUAUAAAAGGUAGCUAUAGAAAAUAAUAUUUUAAAAUAACUUUAGUUUAUAAUAAAUAGGGUAUAUACCUUUGCUAUAAGAGGUAAAAUUUUCAUUAAAAAAUGAACCAAAUCGAACCGAAUUAAUUCAAAACUGAGCGAACCUGCCAAAUAUACACCCUAAUUCAACCUCCUUGAAUAGUGAUAAGUUUACAUUAAAAAAAAAUGGCACACAUAUCCAUCAAAUACUGAAUCCGCCCGACCUUGAGUAUUCCACGAAGUGCUGUAUUACUUUAGUUUAUCAUCAAUCAAUUUAAUGGGUGUAAGCUAUUGAUUUAGAGAGAUUUUGAUUCAUAGCAUAUCGCAUACCCAAGGAAAUAAAAUUAAAAAACUAACUGUAUUGAAUGAGCAAUAAUUCCAAGAAACUAAGGCCCCGUUUGUUCAUUUUUUAAAAAUGUGUUUGUCCAUGAAAUUUUGCAAGUUUUUGAAAGUGAGUUUUUUAAAAAAUCACUUUUUCAAAAUUUUCAGAAAAACUUUUUUUCCUACUCGCAAAACUGCAAUAUU
This 1627-nucleotide long non-coding RNA is filed under the name Nicotiana tabacum (common tobacco). RNAcentral describes it as "long non-coding RNA (NTAB_LNC014784)". The record is from RNAcentral. Lineage: Eukaryota; Viridiplantae; Streptophyta; Magnoliopsida; Solanales; Solanaceae.